CAGCCGCCACGGUAAUACGUAGGUGGCAAGCGUUGUCCGGAAUUAUCGGGCGUAAAGGGCUCGCAGGCGGUUUCUUAAGUCUGAUGUGAAAGCCCCCGGCUCAACCGGGGAGGGUCAUUGGAAACUGGGAAACUUGAGUGCAGAAGAGGAGAGUGGAAUUCCACGUGUAGCGGUGAAAUGCGUAGAGAUGUGGAGGAACACCAGUGGCGAAGGCGACUCUCUGGUCUGUAACUGGCGCUGAGGAGCGAAAGCGUGGGGAGCGAACAGGAUUAGAUACCCCUGUAGUCCCUGUCUCUUAUAC
Molecule: ribosomal RNA, 301 nt
Filed under: uncultured bacterium
Lineage: Bacteria
Description: partial 16S ribosomal RNA
Rfam family: Bacterial small subunit ribosomal RNA
Source: RNAcentral